CGCGGGAUGGAACAGUCUGGUAGCUCGUCGGGCUCAUAACCCGAAGGUCGUAGGUUCAAAUCCUGCUCCCGCAA
This 74-nucleotide transfer RNA is filed under the name Enterococcus hirae. RNAcentral's name for it is "tRNA-Met". It matches the Rfam family "tRNA". From Rfam's summary of the family: Transfer RNA (tRNA) molecules are approximately 80 nucleotides in length. Their secondary structure includes four short double-helical elements and three loops (D, anti-codon, and T loops). The record is from RNAcentral. Lineage: Bacteria; Bacillati; Bacillota; Bacilli; Lactobacillales; Enterococcaceae.